GACGAACGCUGGCGGCGUGCUUAACACAUGCAAGUCGAACGGUAAGGCUCCAGCUUGCUGGGGUACACGAGUGGCGAACGGGUGAGUAACACGUGGGUGACCUGCCCUGCACUUCGGGAUAAGCCUGGGAAACUGGGUCUAAUACCGGAUAGGACCGCACCGUGAGGGUGUGGUGGAAAGUUUUUUCGGUGUGGGAUGGGCCCGCGGCCUAUCAGCUUGUUGGUGGGGUAAUGGCCUACCAAGGCGGCGACGGGUAGCCGGCCUGAGAGGGUGGACGGCCACAUUGGGACUGAGACACGGCCCAGACUCCUACGGGAGGCAGCAGUGGGGAAUAUUGCACAAUGGGCGGAAGCCUGAUGCAGCGACGCCGCGUGGGGGAUGACGGCCUUCGGGUUGUAAACUCCUUUCACCAUCGACGAAGGGUUUCUGACGGUAGAUGGAGAAGAAGCACCGGCUAACUACGUGCCAGCAGCCGCGGUAAUACGUAGGGUGCGAGCGUUGUCCGGAAUUACUGGGCGUAAAGAGCUCGUAGGUGGUUUGUCGCGUCGUCUGUGAAAUUCCGGGGCUUAACUCCGGGCGUGCAGGCGAUACGGGCAUAACUUGAGUACUGUAGGGGAGACUGGAAUUCCUGGUGUAGCGGUGAAAUGCGCAGAUAUCAGGAGGAACACCGGUGGCGAAGGCGGGUCUCUGGGCAGUAACUGACGCUGAGGAGCGAAAGCAUGGGGAGCGAACAGGAUUAGAUAUCCUGGUAGUCCAUGCCGUAAACGGUGGGCGCUAGGUGUGGGUUUCCUUCCACGGGAUCCGUGCCGUAGCUAACGCAUUAAGCGCCCCGCCUGGGGAGUACGGCCGCAAGGCUAAAACUCAAAGGAAUUGACGGGGGCCCGCACAAGCGGCGGAGCAUGUGGAUUAAUUCGAUGCAACGCGAAGAACCUUACCUGGGCUUGACAUAUACAGGAUCGCGCCAGAGAUGGUGUUUCCCUUGUGGCUUGUAUACAGGUGGUGCAUGGUUGUCGUCAGCUCGUGUCGUGAGAUGUUGGGUUAAGUCCAGCAACGAGCGCAACCCUUGUCUUAUGUUGCCAGCACGUUGUGGUGGGGACUCGUAAGAAACUGCCGGGGUUAACUCGGAGGAAGGUGGGGAUGACGUCAAAUCAUCAUGCCCCUUAUGUCCAGGGCUUCACACAUGCUACAAUGGUCGGUACAGUGGGUUGCCAGUCCGUGAGGGCGAGCUAAUCCCGCAAAGCCGGUCUCAGUUCGGAUCGGGGUCUGCAACUCGACCCCGUGAAGUCGGAGUCGCUAGUAAUCGCAGAUCAGCAACGCUGCGGUGAAUACGUUCCCGGGCCU
Molecule: ribosomal RNA, 1341 nt
Filed under: uncultured bacterium
Lineage: Bacteria
Description: partial 16S ribosomal RNA
Rfam family: Bacterial small subunit ribosomal RNA
Source: RNAcentral